UGCGCAGGCGGUUAUAUAAGACAGAUGUGAAAUCCCCGGGCUCAACCUAGGAACUGCAUUUGUGACUGUAUAGCUAGAGUACGGCAGAGGGGGAUGGAAUUCCGCGUGUAGCAGUGAAAUGCGUAGAUAUGCGGAGGAACACCGAUGGCGAAGGCAAUCCCCUGGGCCUGUACUGACGCUCAUGCACGAAAGCGUGGGGAGCAAACA
This 207-nucleotide ribosomal RNA is filed under the name uncultured bacterium. RNAcentral describes it as "partial 16S ribosomal RNA". It matches the Rfam family "Bacterial small subunit ribosomal RNA", at positions 568 to 774 of the family's 1533-position model. The record is from RNAcentral.